GACGAACGCUGGCGGCGUGCUUAACACAUGCAAGUCGAACGGAAAGGCCCUGCUUUUGUGGGGUGCUCGAGUGGCGAACGGGUGAGUAACACGUGAGUAACCUGCCCUUGACUUUGGGAUAACUUCAGGAAACUGGGGCUAAUACCGGAUAGGAGCUCCUGCUGCAUGGUGGGGGUUGGAAAGUUUCGGCGGUUGGGGAUGGACUCGCGGCUUAUCAGCUUGUUGGUGGGGUAGUGGCUUACCAAGGCGUUGACGGGUAGCCGGCCUGAGAGGGUGACCGGCCAAAGGGGGACUGAGAAACGGCCCAGAACCCUACGGGAGGAAGGAGUGGGGAAUAUUGCACAAUGGGCGGAAGCCUGAUGCAGCAACGCCGGGGGGGGGAUGACGGCCUUCGGGUUGUAAACCGCUUUCGCCUGUGACGAAGGGGGAGUGACGGUAAUGGGUAAAGAAGCACCGGCUAACUACGU
Molecule: ribosomal RNA, 467 nt
Filed under: uncultured bacterium
Lineage: Bacteria
Description: partial 16S ribosomal RNA
Rfam family: Bacterial small subunit ribosomal RNA
Source: RNAcentral